AGGGCACCACCAGGAGUGGAGCCUGCGGCUUAAUUUGACUCAACACGGGAAAACUCACCCGGCCCGGACACCGUAAGGAUUGACAGAUUGAGAGCUCUUUCCUGAUUCGGUGGGUGGUGGUGCAUGGCCGUUCUUAGUUGGUGGAGCGAUCUGUCUGGUUAAUUCCGAUAACGAACGAGACUCUAGCCUGCUAAAUAGGCAGUGGAUCUUUAGUCCACUGUACUUCUUAGAGGGACAAGCAGCGUCUAGCUGCACGAGAUUGAGCAAUAACAGGUCUGUGAUGCCCCUGGAUGUUCGGGGCUGCACGCGCGCUACACUGAAGGAAUCAACAUGCUUCUCAACCUUGUCCGGAAGGACUAGGUAACCCGUUGAAACUCCUUCGUGAUUGGGAUAGGGAAUUGCAAUUAUUUCCCUUGAACGAGGAAUUCCCAGUAAGUGCGGGUCAUCAGCUCGCGCUGAUUACGUCCCUGCCCUUUGUACACACCGCCCGUCGCUACUACCGAUUGGAAGUAGACGAGA
Molecule: ribosomal RNA, 519 nt
Filed under: uncultured eukaryote
Lineage: Eukaryota
Description: SSU rRNA
Rfam family: Eukaryotic small subunit ribosomal RNA
Source: RNAcentral